RNAcentral lists this ribosomal RNA (490 nucleotides) under uncultured organism. Its description in RNAcentral is "SSU rRNA". It matches the Rfam family "Bacterial small subunit ribosomal RNA", at positions 8 to 509 of the family's 1533-position model. The record is from RNAcentral.
AGAGUUUGAUCCUGGCUCAGGAUGAACGCUAGCGGCAGGCUUAACACAUGCAAGUCGAGGGGCAGCGCGUUGUAGCAAUACGAUGGCGGCGACCGGCGAAAGGGUGCGUAACGCGUGAGCAACCUGCCCGUAUCCGGGACAUAAGCGGUGGAAACGCCGUCUAAUUUCCCAUAACAACGAGGGCCGCAUGGUCCAUGUUUGAAAGAUGCGUCGGAUACGGAUGGGCUCGCGAGACAUUAGCUAGUCGGCGUGGUAACGGCACACCGAGGCGACGAUGUCUAGGGGUUCUGAGAGGAAGGUCCCCCACACUGGAACUGAGACACGGUCCAGACUCCUACGGGAGGCAGCAGUGAGGAAUAUUGGGCAAUGGGCGAAAGCCUGACCCAGCAACGCCGCGUGAGCGAAGAAGGCUUUCGGGUUGUAAAGCUCUGUUAUAGGGGACGAAGAGCGUGACGGUACCCUAUAAGGAAGCCCCGGCUAACUACGUGCC